RNAcentral lists this small RNA (95 nucleotides) under Flavobacterium sp. 102. RNAcentral's name for it is "Flavo-1 RNA". It matches the Rfam family "Flavo-1 RNA". Lineage: Bacteria; Pseudomonadati; Bacteroidota; Flavobacteriia; Flavobacteriales; Flavobacteriaceae. The record is from RNAcentral.
UUUUAGCCCUGAUGGAAAUGGAAAUCUUUUUGUUUUGUCCUUCGACAAGCUCAGGAUGACAAAACAAAAAAUUGUAAUGGACAGCAGGAAUUGCC